AAAACCUACAGUUAAACAAUUUAUACUGUCAUUUGUCUUAUUGCAUCAAACUUAAUCAAUGACCUCUUUGGGAUAAACAUAAAUAUGACCUGCGAAGAUUACUGGAACUAAACUGAACUGAUUUAUAGAUUGUAAAAGAACUAACGAAUGGACCCAAAGAAUACUAAAGAACCAAGAGGCCAGGCUCUUCGAAGACUAGAGGAACCAAUACAAAAGUUUUGCGAAGACUGUAAAGGAACAACACAAUCAAUGUUGACCCUAAAAAAAUCAGAAACAAAGGCUACACGAAAACUGCUCAGAAAUUUGCUUUAAAUGAAUUUAAUAUACACAGCAACACAUGUCUUUUAACAC
This 351-nucleotide long non-coding RNA is filed under the name Mytilus galloprovincialis (Mediterranean mussel). The record is from RNAcentral. Lineage: Eukaryota; Metazoa; Mollusca; Bivalvia; Mytilida; Mytilidae.